UAAUGUAUGGGAUCUGCCCGAUAGAGGGGAAUAACUACUGGAAACGGUGGCUAAUACCGCAUAAUGUCUACGGACCAAAGCAGGGGCUCUUCGGACCUUGCACUAUCGGAUGAACCCAUAUGGGAUUAGCUAGUAGGUGGGGUAAAGGCUCACCUAGGCGACGAUCUCUAGCUGGUCUGAGAGGAUGAUCAGCCACACUGGGACUGAGACACGGCCCAG
This 219-nucleotide ribosomal RNA is filed under the name uncultured bacterium. Its description in RNAcentral is "partial 16S ribosomal RNA". It matches the Rfam family "Bacterial small subunit ribosomal RNA", at positions 111 to 334 of the family's 1533-position model. The record is from RNAcentral.